CAGUCGCCGCGGGAAUACGAAGGGUGCAAGCGUUACUCGGAAUUACUGGGCGUAAAGCGUGCGUAGGUGGUUGUUUAAGUCUGCUGUGAAAGCCCUGGGCUCAACCUGGGAAUUGCAGUGGAUACUGGGCGACUAGAGUAAGGUAGAGGAUAGUGGAAUUUCCGGUGUAGCAGUGAAAUGCGUAGAGAUCGGAAGGAACAUCUGUGGCGAAGGCGACUAUCUGGGCCAUUACUGACACUGAGGCACGAAAGCGUGGGGAGCAAACAGGAUUAGAUACCCGCGUAGUCCCUGUCUCUUAUAC
RNAcentral lists this ribosomal RNA (301 nucleotides) under uncultured bacterium. Its description in RNAcentral is "partial 16S ribosomal RNA". It matches the Rfam family "Bacterial small subunit ribosomal RNA", at positions 509 to 807 of the family's 1533-position model. The record is from RNAcentral.